This 253-nucleotide ribosomal RNA is filed under the name uncultured bacterium. Its description in RNAcentral is "partial 16S ribosomal RNA". It matches the Rfam family "Bacterial small subunit ribosomal RNA", at positions 524 to 776 of the family's 1533-position model. The record is from RNAcentral.
UACGAAGGGGGCUAGCGUUGCUCGGAAUCACUGGGCGUAAAGCGCACGUAGGCGGCUUCUUAAGUCAGGGGUGAAAUCCUGGAGCUCAACUCCAGAACUGCCUUUGAUACUGAGGAGCUUGAGUCCGGGAGAGGUGAGUGGAACUCCGAGUGUAGAGGUGAAAUUCGUAGAUAUUCGCAAGAACACCAGUGGCGAAGGCGGCUCACUGGGACGGUACUGACGCUGAGGCGCGAAAGCGUGGGGAGCGAACAGG